UACGUAGGGUGCGAGCGUUGUCCGGAAUUACUGGGCGUAAAGAGCUCGUAGGUGGUUUGUCGCGUUGUUCGUGAAAACUCACAGCUUAACUGUGGGCGUGCGGGCGAUACGGGCAGACUGGAGUACUGCAGGGGAGACUGGAAUUCCUGGUGUAGCGGUGGAAUGCGCAGAUAUCAGGAGGAACACCGGUGGCGAAGGCGGGUCUCUGGGCCGAUACUGACGCUGAGAAGCGAAAGCGUGGGGAGCGAACAGG
Molecule: ribosomal RNA, 253 nt
Filed under: uncultured bacterium
Lineage: Bacteria
Description: partial 16S ribosomal RNA
Rfam family: Bacterial small subunit ribosomal RNA
Source: RNAcentral